AGGACGAACGCUGGCGGCGUGCUUAAUACAUGCAAGUCGAACGGAUACCAUCCAGUAGCAAUACUGGUGAAGUAUUAGUGGCGAACGGGUGCGUAACACGUGAGAAACCGACCCCAGUCUCUGGAAUAACAGAUGGAAACGUCUGCUAAUACCGGAUACCGUCUCUCCACCGCAUGGUGGGUUGACGAAAGAUUCAUCGGAUUGGGAUGGUCUCGCGGCCUAUCAGCUUGUUGGUGAGGUAACGGCUUACCAAGGCUUUGACGGGUAGCUGGUCUGAGAGGAUGAUCAGCCACACUGGGACUGAGACACGGCCCAGGCUCCUACGGGAGGCAGCAGUAGGGAAUCUUGCGCAAUGGGCGAAAGCCUGACGCAGCAACGCCGCGUGCGGGAUGAAGGCCUUCGGGUUGUAAACCGCUUUCAGAAGGAACGAAAUGACGGUACUUCAGAAGAAGGUGCGGCCAACUACGUGCCAGCAGCCGCGGUAA
Molecule: ribosomal RNA, 485 nt
Filed under: uncultured bacterium
Lineage: Bacteria
Description: SSU rRNA
Rfam family: Bacterial small subunit ribosomal RNA
Source: RNAcentral